UUUACCUACGGGGCGCAGCAGUGGGGAAUAUUGCACAAUGGGGGAAACCCUGAUGCAGCGACGCCGCGUGAGUGAAGAAGUAUUUCGGUAUGUAAAGCUCUAUCAGCAGGGAAGAAAAUGACGGUACCUGACUAAGAAGCCCCGGCUAACUACGUGCCAGCAGCCGCGGUAAUACGUAGGGGGCAAGCGGUAUCCGGAUUUACUGGGAGUAUAGGGAGGGUAGGUGGCAUGGUAAGCCAGAAGUGAAAACCCG
Molecule: ribosomal RNA, 253 nt
Filed under: uncultured bacterium
Lineage: Bacteria
Description: partial 16S ribosomal RNA
Rfam family: Bacterial small subunit ribosomal RNA
Source: RNAcentral